Molecule: ribosomal RNA, 241 nt
Filed under: uncultured bacterium
Lineage: Bacteria
Description: partial 16S ribosomal RNA
Rfam family: Bacterial small subunit ribosomal RNA
Source: RNAcentral
GAUCCUGGGCUCAGGAUGAACGCUAGCUACAGGCUUAACACAUGCAAGUCGAGGGGAAACGACAUCGAAAGCUUGCUUUUGAUGGGCGUCGACCGGCGCACGGGUGAGUAACGCGUAUCCAACCUGCCCAUCACUUGGGAAUAACCUUGCGAAAGUAAGACUAAUGCCCAAUGAUAUCCCACGAAGGCAUCCGAAUGGGAUUAAAGAUUUAUCGGUGAUGGAUGGGGAUGCGUCUGAUUAG